RNAcentral lists this small nuclear RNA (18 nucleotides) under Arabidopsis thaliana (thale cress). RNAcentral describes it as "snRNA_05987". Lineage: Eukaryota; Viridiplantae; Streptophyta; Magnoliopsida; Brassicales; Brassicaceae. The record is from RNAcentral.
CACAAGGAAGAGAGAUGG